UGGGGGAUAUUGCACAAUGGGCGAAAGCCUGAUGCAGCGACGCCGCGUGGGGGAUGAAGGCUUUCGGGUUGUAAACCUCUUUCGCUAUCGAACAAGGCCCGCUUAGGGUGGGUUGAGGGUAGGUGGAGAAGAAGCGCCGGCUAACUACGUGCCAGCAGCCGCGGUAAUACGUAGGGCGCGAGCGUUGUCCGGAAUUAUUGGGCGUAAAGGGCUUGUAGGCGGCUUGUUGCGCCUGCUGUGAAAACGCGGGGCUUAACUUCGCGCGUGCAGUGGGUACGGGCAGGCUUGAGUGUGGUAGGGGUGACUGGAAUUCCAGGUGUAGCGGUGGAAUGCGCAGAGAUCUGGAGGAAUACCGGUGGCGAAGGCGGCCCCCUGGACGAAGACUGACGCUCAGGUGCGAAAGCGUGGGGAGCAAACAGG
This 420-nucleotide ribosomal RNA is filed under the name Chloroflexota bacterium. RNAcentral's name for it is "Chloroflexi bacterium partial 16S ribosomal RNA". It matches the Rfam family "Bacterial small subunit ribosomal RNA", at positions 355 to 776 of the family's 1533-position model. Lineage: Bacteria; Bacillati; Chloroflexota. The record is from RNAcentral.